Manihot esculenta (cassava) is the source of this 815-nucleotide long non-coding RNA. RefSeq lists it as uncharacterized. The transcript is spliced from 2 exons. The record is from RefSeq and is a predicted model, not a curated record. Lineage: Eukaryota; Viridiplantae; Streptophyta; Magnoliopsida; Malpighiales; Euphorbiaceae.
UCCUUGCACUCUUUUAAAUACGUUCUCCUAGCUACCUCCUUUUCUUGUAUCCCACAUGAUGCAACUCAGCCUCAGGCCUCCUGCUUCUGUUGGCUCUCAUGAUUCCUUAGAGCCUAGUACUGCUUCGCUAUUCAUUGCUACUAAGUCUUCCUUCUUCGAAAUGGGUGACAUGGGAAAUUUCUUGGCUGUCUCCAGAGAUGUGGAAAAGAGAUGAGAGUUGUCUUCAACGAGACAACUUCUUCAUUUUCUUUUCGUUCUGUGGAGACUAUCAGUGCAAGUGCUGAGCUAAAUUAUUUUACAUUACCAGUGUUUUAAUGGUAUAUAGAUAUAUAUAAACAUGUGAUUAAGUUAGAAACUUUCAUGCGUUUUCUUGUAUUUUGGUUCAGCUCUUGAGAUUUGUUAGCAACUAAGCUGUAUCAGAUAUGCACUUUACUUGCAUAGUAGCAGUUCAAUCUACUAUGGAUUGUUUACAAUGCGAACUUUAUUUUUAUAUAAUGAUUGUAUCCCAAUAAAUCUUUGAGUUCAGAUAUGACUUUAUCAUUUUCUUAAUUCUUAGUCUGUGCUAUAGAAUGUUGUCUACAAAUUUCGAUUAGGUUUUAUGAUUUCCUUCAAAAAUGCUAGAUGUUCAAUGUCGCAGAAGAGGGCUAUUUCCUAGGAGAAAGAAUUGUAGAGGACUCAACUCUUAAUAGAUUUAGAAGCUGCAAGCAUAGAUCUGUCUAUCUGCAAGUGAAACUGUGCAAGUUUGGUUACAAAUGGUGUAGUUGACAAAACCAGUUUAAGGGUCUAAUUAAGUAUGUUGAUUUUAUACUUCAACA